Long non-coding RNA from Thalassophryne amazonica, 174 nucleotides. RefSeq lists it as uncharacterized. The record is from RefSeq and is a predicted model, not a curated record. The transcript is spliced from 2 exons. Lineage: Eukaryota; Metazoa; Chordata; Actinopteri; Batrachoidiformes; Batrachoididae.
AGUCAAAAAUCUGAACAGCAGCAUUUUGAAUAUGUGGACAGCAAACAGUCACAUACACAUUUUCCAGUGAAAUGAAACUUCGAGUUUCCCAUGAAAACUCUCGCUGAAUAGUGAAUGUUAUCACAGUUUGCGGCCUUGGAGAAGAGAUGGUGAGUUUUAUCAGUGCAGCUGCAA